UCUGCAGUAGGGAUAGAGAAGUGCCAAUCUAAGCUGGCAAUAGUAGCUUGGCUGAUUUGGACAGCUCUAAACGAAAGGAUCUUUCAAAAAUAUUACACAGUCCUCCAUACAUCGAUCUAGUGAGAAGAGCUUCUGACUACCUUAGUUACUCAUAACGACAAUGCAGAACACCAAGUCCCCUCUAAGCUUCUAUCAAGGAACUGGGGUGGUUGUAAGCUGCUAACAAUGGCAGCACUUCUAACCUGAAUGUCUCCUGGCUACCCGCUCCCUUAGGAACCUUAAAAGAGAAUUUUGAUGCUAGGGUAACAAUGGACGGGGUGGCUGUCAGGUUUAUAAUUAGAGAUAGUGAGGGCCAUCUUAUUAGAGCUGGCGACAAAGCUUUGCAGCCUGGAUUGGGUUGCACACUGUUGUGACAUACUUAAAUCAACCGAAAGUAUGGUUGUAAGGUGAUUCCACAAUUGUUGUAUCAUGCAUAUUGCCAACUCUUCUAUGGGGAGAAACUUGGAGAUGCCAUUAUUGUAAGAC
Molecule: long non-coding RNA, 525 nt
Filed under: Elaeis guineensis (African oil palm)
Lineage: Eukaryota; Viridiplantae; Streptophyta; Magnoliopsida; Arecales; Arecaceae
Description: long non-coding RNA (EGUI_LNC082395)
Source: RNAcentral